RNAcentral lists this small nuclear RNA (140 nucleotides) under Xylariales sp. No.14919. RNAcentral describes it as "fungal sp. No.14919 U4 spliceosomal RNA". It matches the Rfam family "U4 spliceosomal RNA". Rfam says of the family: U4 small nuclear RNA (U4 snRNA) is a component of the major U2-dependent spliceosome. The structure of U4 snRNA from yeast and human has been reported. The record is from Rfam by way of RNAcentral. Lineage: Eukaryota; Fungi; Ascomycota; Sordariomycetes; Xylariales.
AUCCCAGUGCACGGGCUUUACGCGUCACAGUGAGGAGCAAUCCGAGUGCGUGUUUUUGCUAGUUGAAAACUAUACUAUGACCACUCCUAUUUGGCUUUGCCGGGUAGGGAAUUUUUGUAACCAAAAACAUGAGCAUUUUG